Molecule: ribosomal RNA, 314 nt
Filed under: Thomisus onustus
Lineage: Eukaryota; Metazoa; Arthropoda; Arachnida; Araneae; Thomisidae
Description: partial 12S ribosomal RNA
Source: RNAcentral
AGGUAGUAAAUAAUUUUUAAAACCUAUUUAUAUCGGCGGCAUUUCAUCUUACUAGAGGAAUCUGUUUAAUAAUUGAUAAUCCACAUUAAAUUUCACUUUAAAUAAAAACUUAUAUACCGCCAUCUAAAGAGUUAAAUUAAUUAAUUUACUCACAAUAAAUAAUAAAAAGUUAGGUCAAGGUGUAGUAAAUAUUAAAGUUCUUAAUGGAUUACUUUAAAUGCAUUUAUGGAUAUAUUUAAAUAAUUUUUUAUUAAAAUAGGAUUUAGAAGUAAUAAAAUAAUAAUAUUAGUUUAUAAAUAAGAUAAUAAAUGUGC